Molecule: non-coding RNA, 306 nt
Organism: Nicotiana tabacum (common tobacco)
Lineage: Eukaryota; Viridiplantae; Streptophyta; Magnoliopsida; Solanales; Solanaceae
Source: RefSeq, a predicted model, not a curated record
GGGAUCGGGUUGCACGCCUGCAAUGAGGAAGAAAUGAAAAUCCCGGUGCUACAACUUUUGGACCGCAGUGAGGUUGCUGUCUUCAGUCCAAUAGGCGACCCGAAGUAGUCAUGUAGGCAUCCACAGGCCUUAGCGUCUCCCUCUAUCUUUCCAUUCUGUUUCUUUUAUGUAUUUUAGAGACAACUUUGUACUUAUCUUUUAAACCUCUGUUUGUAGUAUUCGUAGAUAGUCCGUGACUUUGUGACACCAAAUUUUGGGUAGUGUUAUAUAUCGGAUUCAUAUAACAAUGUUUGGUUAAACUAUUAA